UGUGGGUGGCAGAGCAGGGGUGGGGUGUCCAGGGAUAUGGGAGCUGCUUGGAAAUGUCUUUUUCUUCUUAUAUUUAUCAAGCCCUAUAAUAUGCCAAGCACAGUACUUUGCACGCAUUACCUUGCCCAUGCUCACCACAGCCCUGAGAGGUAGAUCCCAUUAUUAUCACUCUCAUCCCCAUUUUACAGGUAAAGAAACUGACGGUCCAAGAGGUUGACUGAUCUGUUCAGAGUCACAUGGCUUAUGAGGACUCAAGCAGGCAUUUCUGCAGAGGUCUGAUGUGCACAGCACUGUGCUGGGCCCUAGGGAUAAGAUGCUGGGAGACAGAUGCAGCAUGGCUGGUGUGUUCCCAGGAACCUGGAAGGAGCUAUGGGAGCCAGGAGUCAGGAUAUCAGGGAAACCACCCAGACUGUGUGCUCUCUCACUCUCCUAAAGGAAGACAAUGGCAAAUGGCAGUUGUAGCAAAGCACCACCAACAGCCAGCUUGAUGCCCAGGAGAGAAUGCUGUGCCAUCUCCUCAUGGUUUCUAGUGCUCUACAAAUUCAGAGAAACUUUUCUUAUAAUUAACUAUAGAAACAAUGAGACUGGGCAACAUGGCAAGACUCCGUGUCUACAAAACCUACAAAAAUUGGCCGGGUGUGGUGGCUCACACCUGUAAUCCUGCACUUUGGGAGACCAAGGCAGACGGAUCACGAG
This is a long non-coding RNA of Cebus imitator (Panamanian white-faced capuchin), 696 nucleotides long. RefSeq lists it as uncharacterized. The transcript is spliced from 3 exons. Lineage: Eukaryota; Metazoa; Chordata; Mammalia; Primates; Cebidae. The record is from RefSeq and is a predicted model, not a curated record.